AUGCUUACCUGGCCAGGGAGACAGCAUGAUCAUGAAGAUGGUUUUCCUAAGGUGAGACUUAUCCAUUGCACUCUGGAUGUGCUGACCCCUGCAACGUCCCCAGAUGUGCAAAACUGCAUAAUCUGUGGUAGUGGGGGACUGUGUUUGUUUUUCCCUUG
Hyaena hyaena (striped hyena) is the source of this 158-nucleotide small nuclear RNA. RefSeq annotates it as U1 spliceosomal RNA. The transcript has a single exon. The record is from RefSeq and is a predicted model, not a curated record. NCBI's taxonomy places the organism in Eukaryota, Metazoa, Chordata, Mammalia, Carnivora, Hyaenidae.